CCUACGGGUGGCUGCAGUCGAGAAUCAUUCACAAUGGGGGAAACCCUGAUGGUGCGACGCCGCGUGGGGGAAUGAAGGUCUUCGGAUUGUAAACCCCUGUCAUGUGGGAGCAAAUUAAAAAGAUAGUACCACAAGAGGAAGAGACGGCUAACUCUGUGCCAGCAGCCGCGGUAAUACAGAGGUCUCAAGCGUUGUUCGGAAUCACUGGGCGUAAAGCGUGCGUAGGCUGUUUCGUAAGUCGUGUGUGAAAGGCGCGGGCUCAACCCGCGGACGGAACAUGCUACUGCGAGACUAGGGAAAUGGAGGGGGAACGGGAAUUCUGGGUGUAGCAGGGAAGUGGGUAGAAAUCGGGAGGAACACUCGUGGCGAAGGCGGGUUCCUGGACAUUAACUGACGCUGAGGCACGAAGGCCAGGGGAGCGAAGGGAUUAGAUACCCGUGUAGUC
This 445-nucleotide ribosomal RNA is filed under the name uncultured bacterium. RNAcentral describes it as "partial 16S ribosomal RNA". It matches the Rfam family "Bacterial small subunit ribosomal RNA", at positions 338 to 795 of the family's 1533-position model. The record is from RNAcentral.